This 312-nucleotide ribosomal RNA is filed under the name Ranitomeya reticulata (redback poison frog). RNAcentral describes it as "partial 12S ribosomal RNA". It matches the Rfam family "Bacterial small subunit ribosomal RNA", at positions 875 to 1355 of the family's 1533-position model. The record is from RNAcentral. Lineage: Eukaryota; Metazoa; Chordata; Amphibia; Anura; Dendrobatidae.
GGGAACUACGAGCCAAGCUUAAAACCCAAAGGACUUGACGGUACCCCAUAUCCCCCUAGAGGAGCCUGUCCUAUAAUCGAUAACCCCCGUUCAACCUCACCAUUUCUAGCAACUCAGCCUGUAUACCUCCGUCGUCAGCUUACCACGUGAGCGCUAGUGAGCUCAAUGUUUUUUCAACUAAACGUCAGGUCAAGGUGCAACACAUGAGAUGGGAAGAGAUGGGCUACACUUUCUAACAUAGACCACACGAAAGACUAACUAUGAAAUCUAGUCAGAAGGCGGAUUUAGGAAGUAANAAAGUAACCAGAGAGU